This 208-nucleotide ribosomal RNA is filed under the name uncultured bacterium. Its description in RNAcentral is "partial 16S ribosomal RNA". It matches the Rfam family "Bacterial small subunit ribosomal RNA", at positions 568 to 774 of the family's 1533-position model. The record is from RNAcentral.
AGCGCAGGCGGUUUUUUAAAGUCUGAUGUGAAAGCCCUUGGCUCGACCAAGGAAGUGCAUCGGAAACUGGAGAACUUGAGUGCAGAAGAGGACAGUGGAACUCCAUGUGUAGCGGUGAAAUGCGUAGAUAUAUGGAAGAACACCAGUGGCGAAGGCGGCUGUCUGGUCUGUAACUGACGCUGAGGCUCGAAAGCAUGGGUAGCGAACA